This 169-nucleotide ribosomal RNA is filed under the name Artocarpus aff. lakoocha EMG-2016. Its description in RNAcentral is "5.8S ribosomal RNA". It matches the Rfam family "5.8S ribosomal RNA". From Rfam's summary of the family: 5.8S ribosomal RNA (5.8S rRNA) is a component of the large subunit of the eukaryotic ribosome. It is transcribed by RNA polymerase I as part of the 45S precursor that also contains 18S and 28S rRNA. Lineage: Eukaryota; Viridiplantae; Streptophyta; Magnoliopsida; Rosales; Moraceae. The record is from RNAcentral.
UAACAACGACUCUCGGCAACGGAUAUCUCGGCUCUCGCAUCGAUGAAGAACGUAGCGAAAUGCGAUACUUGGUGUGAAUUGCAGAAUCCCGUGAACCAUCGAGUCUUUGAACGCAAGUUGCGCCUGAAGCCAUCCGGCCAAGGGCACGUCUGCCUGGGCGUCACACACC